This 72-nucleotide transfer RNA is filed under the name Armatimonadota bacterium. Its description in RNAcentral is "Armatimonadetes bacterium tRNA-Thr". It matches the Rfam family "tRNA". Rfam says of the family: Transfer RNA (tRNA) molecules are approximately 80 nucleotides in length. The record is from RNAcentral. Lineage: Bacteria; Bacillati; Armatimonadota.
GCCGAUGUGGCUCAGGGGUAGAGCAGCUCUUUCGUAAAGAGCAGGCCGUCGGUUCGAAUCCGACCAUCGGCU